AUACGGAGGGUGCAAGCGUUAUUCGGAAUCACUGGGCGUAAAGGACGCGUAGGCGGGUUGGCAAGUCAGAUGUGAAAUCCUACAGCUUAACUGUAGAACUGCAUUUGAAACUGCUAACCUAGAGUAUGGGAGGGGGAGAUGGAAUUAGUGGUGUAGGGGUAAAAUCCGUAGACAUCACUAGGAAUACCGAAAGCGAAGGCGAUCUCCUGGAACAUAACUGACGCUAAGGCGUGAAAGCGUGGGGAGCAAACAGGAUUAGAAACCCUAGUAGUCC
Molecule: ribosomal RNA, 274 nt
Filed under: uncultured bacterium
Lineage: Bacteria
Description: partial 16S ribosomal RNA
Rfam family: Bacterial small subunit ribosomal RNA
Source: RNAcentral